AGCGAACGCUGGCGGCAGGCCUAACACAUGCAAGUCGAACGAACCUUUCGGGGUUAGUGGCGGACGGGUGAGUAACACGUGGGAACGUGCCUUUAGGUUCGGAAUAACUCAGGGAAACUUGUGCUAAUACCGAAUGUGCCCUUCGGGGGAAAGAUUAAUCGCCUUUAGAGCGGCCCGCGUCUGAUUAGCUAGUUGGUUGAGGUAAUGGCUCACCAAGGCGACGAUCAGUAGCUGGUCUGAGAGGAUGAUCAGCCACAUUGGGACUGAGACACGGACCAAACUCCUACGGGAGGCAGCAGUGGGGAAUCUUGCGCAAUGGGCGAAAGCCUGACGCAGCCAAGCCGCGUGAAUGAUGAAGGUCUUAGGAUUGUAAAAUUCUUUCACCGGGGACGAUAAUGACGGUACCCGGAGAAGAAGCCCCGGCUAACUUCGUG
RNAcentral lists this ribosomal RNA (434 nucleotides) under uncultured bacterium. Its description in RNAcentral is "partial 16S ribosomal RNA". It matches the Rfam family "Bacterial small subunit ribosomal RNA", at positions 29 to 507 of the family's 1533-position model. The record is from RNAcentral.